GAGUUUGAUCGUGGCUCAGAUUGAACGCUGGCGGCAGGCCUAACACAUGCAAGUCGAGCGGAUGACGGGAGCUUGCUCCUUGAUUCAGCGGCGGACGGGUGAGUAAUGCCUAGGAAUCUGCCUGGUAGUGGGGGACAACGUUUCGAAAGGAACGCUAAUACCGCAUACGUCCUACGGGAGAAAGCAGGGGACCUUCGGGCCUUGCGCUAUCAGAUGAGCCUAGGUCGGAUUAGCUAGUUGGUGGGGUAAUGGCUCACCAAGGCGACGAUCCGUAACUGGUCUGAGAGGAUGAUCAGUCACACUGGAACUGAGACACGGUCCAGACUCCUACGGGAGGCAGCAGUGGGGAUAUUGGACAAUGGGCGAAAGCCUGAUCCAGCCAUGCCGCGUGUGUGAAGAAGGUCUUCGGAUUGUAAAGCACUUUAAGUUGGGAGGAAGGGCAGUAAGUUAAUACCUUGCUGUUUUGACGUUACCGACAGAAUAAGCACCGGCUAACUCUGUGCCAGCAGCC
Molecule: ribosomal RNA, 511 nt
Filed under: bacterium enrichment culture clone ALO1_GLFRUDD03G811W
Lineage: Bacteria
Description: bacterial SSU rRNA
Rfam family: Bacterial small subunit ribosomal RNA
Source: RNAcentral